Molecule: ribosomal RNA, 520 nt
Filed under: uncultured Glomus
Lineage: Eukaryota; Fungi; Glomeromycota; Glomeromycetes; Glomerales; Glomeraceae
Description: SSU rRNA
Rfam family: Eukaryotic small subunit ribosomal RNA
Source: RNAcentral
AGCAGCCGCGGUAAUUCCAGCUCCAAUAGCGUAUAUUAAAGUUGUUGCAGUUAAAAAGCUCGUAGUUGAAUUUCGAGAUCGGCUUACUGGUCGUGCUUUUGUACGUACUGGUAAAUCGGUUUCUCCUUUCUGACGAACUUUAAUGCCAUUAAUUUGGUGUUUUAGGGAAUCAGGACUGUUACUUUGAAAAAAUUUAGAGUGUUUAAAGCAGGCUCACGCUUGAAUACAUUAGCAUGGAAUAACGGAAUAGGACGUUUGAUUCUAUUUUGUUGGUUUCUAGGAUCGACGUAAUGAUUAAUAGGGAUAGUUGGGGGCAUUAGUAUUCAAUUGUCAGAGGUGAAAUUCUUGGAUUUAUUGAAGACUAACUACUGCGAAAGCAUUUGCCAAGGAUGUUUUCAUUAAUCAAGAACGAAAGUUAGGGGAUCGAAGACGAUCAGAUACCGUCGUAGUCUUAACCAUAAACUAUGCCGACUAGGGAUCGGAUGAUGUUAAUUUUUUUAAUGACUCAUUCGGCGCCUUA